UUCGUUGCAUUAUCCGAAGCUUAUGUAUGCUAAGUACCAUGAGGAAGGAGCCGAACGUUUAGUAUGCAAGGGCAUUGCCGACGUGUGCAUCCCUGAAUGCGCAUUACGUCAGAUUGCAUGGUUUUGAAUUCCAUAAGAAUAGCUUUCCUGUCAAAUUCAGCGUCUGAAGAUUCCCAGGUUACGGGGGUGGUAGCUGUACACGCAUAAUAGAGGGAGACAGCGAACGAGCGAGCAAGCGCAAAUUAACCUGGGAAAAGUAUUGUCCGUUGGUUAGUGUGGCAUUCACGAGAAGGCAGCACCUACUGGCAAGAAAGUCGAUUUCAAACUUCAAACAUUUCAAG
Leptopilina heterotoma is the source of this 341-nucleotide long non-coding RNA. RefSeq lists it as uncharacterized. The record is from RefSeq and is a predicted model, not a curated record. The transcript is spliced from 3 exons. NCBI's taxonomy places the organism in Eukaryota, Metazoa, Arthropoda, Insecta, Hymenoptera, Figitidae.